GGGGAUAGCCCUCCAGAGAAGCCUAGACGGGUAAGGGGCAGGAGUGGAAAGAACUCUUGACGGGAGACGCAGGGGCUGCAUGUCCGGGAAGGGAGAGCAUAAGGAGAGAACAUUCCACAUGCAUUUCUGGUCAAAUAGUUUUUUUUUUGAGGCGAUCAACCGGUAUCAACUCCACAUCCAGGGAAAAAAUAUUAAUACAUUUUUUAUAUGUUUUAGGUCAGACCUUUUUUAAUUUUUACGGUUCUGUCCCCAGUUUGAACUUCUCGGCCAGUGAUUCCUUCCACCCAAAUUGGAUUCCCCUGUUAGGAUCACCAACCCGGUGCGUCGCCACCAUGAGUUCAGACAACUCCUCCCUGGCUGGGGGUCUCGUGUACGGGCACCUGCCCUGCGACGGCUGGACCAAUAACACGGAGGGUGCCAUCUUUCAGCUAGGCAACACCAUCCUGCUGCUGGGCUAUAUGGGAGGCAGCGGGCCCCACGGCUGCCUCUUCAUCUUUGGCUUCAUGGUGCCCUCCUUCCUGUGCAUGCAGCUUUGGGGCUGGAUGACCGUGUGCGGUGCGGAUGUGUUCACCUGGAACCUGCUGCUCGUGCUGGCCUGCCUGGCUCAAAUCUGCCACCUCAUCUACCGGCUGCGGAAGCAGGGUCUAGCCAGCGAGGAGCUCUGCAGCCUGUACCAGGCCGUGUAUCUGCCCCUGGGCGUGCCUGUGCAGGUCUUCCAGGAGGUGUCUGGGGCCUUCGACAACAGGGUGCUGGAGCUGAAAGCUGGGGACACGUACUCUCUGGAAGGAAAGACGCCCAUCGAUCAGCUCUCCCUUCUUCUUUCUGGGAGGAUUUGUGUGACUCUGGAGGGUCAGUUCCUCCACUAUAUCCACCGCCACCAGUUCCUGGACUCCCCAGAGUGGGAGUCCCUCCGACCCACUGAAGAGGGAAACUUCCAGGUGACCCUGACGGCGGAGGAGGACUGCCGCUACGUGUCAUGGCGGCGCCGGCGUCUGUACACGCUGCUGUCGCGGGAGCGCUACGUGGCGCGCAUCUUCUCCGUCAUGCUGGGCCUGGACAUCGCCGAGAAGCUCUACGCCCUCAACAACAAGCUGUUCGUCAAGAGCGGCGUGCGGCUGGACAUCCGCCUGCCCAGCCUCUACCACGUGCUGCUGGCCCCCCCCACCGGGGCCUCGCGCAGCAGCGACGGCAGCGGGAACGGCCCCCCGGGCGGGCGGGGCUCCGGCAACGACGGGGCCGACCAGCGGCAGGGCUCGCUGGGAGACGACCCCACCACGGCCGACUACCAGAACUCCCAGAACUACUACAAGCAAGGCCCCAGGACCUCGUCCCAGGACGACCCCCAGGACGAAGAGCCCGAGCCCUGGGCCUCUGACGUGGCGCCCCACCCCGGUGAGGACUCCAGCAGUCUGGCUCUGGAGGACUUUGCUGACUUGGCGGGGUCCCUGAUGGACUAUGGCAAUGAGAGGGAUUAUUUGAGGUAGAAGGGAGAGAAGGGGGGCGAAGCUAACACACUGCGUCUCCUCUCCGGCCCCAUGAAGUGAUGACGCCGUAAACGACAGGCUCCGUCCUCCACGCUUCAGCCGGGGCCGUGCCCCUCUGGCCCCUACAGACACCCCCAAGCUGUGAGGUCGGCCGCUCUACCAUAGAGGGUUUGGGUUCGGAUGCCUCUAGCUGACCCUGUGCUGCUGGGCUGUCUUUCCUCUAGUCCUCCACCCACCACACUCCACCCUGACUGGGAUGCCAUUGUCUCCCUGUUUGUUUGUGGUCUUCAGCUUCUUUUUGAAAGUACUGACGCGAAUGAUGUCAUGAAAACAUUUGAUCACCCCGGAAACGGUUCGGGCUUCGAUGUCACCUUGUGCCGUUCACGUUUAACGUUGCAAUGUAUGACUUUCUGUUUCUGAUGGUUAAAGUAAGCACCUAGGUUAUACCAACAAUACCUUUAUUUGUGGACGGCAGAUGAGACGCAACGAAGGGUGUCGUUUUGUAGUAGCAUUAGUAAUAUUAGUUCUGCAUUCAGUAGCUCUUUACCUUUGUAUGUUUUGAAAAUACACUAAACAUGGGGUCCAUACCAUUUGAGUGUACAGAUCGUACCAUCUACUGCCUUGUAUAUACAUGGGGUCUGUACAAUCAAAACGUACAGAACAUACGAUCUUCUGCCAGGUAGAAACUUUCUUCCGGAUGGGAAUAACCUCUGCCUGAGAGCCCCCUUUUCACAACAUACUUUCUUUUUUUGUUUUAAUUCCACUUUCUAUAGAUGGACCAUCUGUAACCUCUUGUCUCCUGUAUCUUCCAUCAAUGCCUCACGUUUUACCGUAUGCCAACGACGAUACACAAUUGUAUACUGUGAACUGUGUGAUUUCUUCAGAGACCUGUGUACUGUUUAGAACAUAGAUUUACACGUGUUUCAACGGGGCCAAGAUUCCUACCUAUAAAGAACUUUGUGUGCAGUGAAGACACUGUUUAA
This is an RNA transcript of Gadus morhua (Atlantic cod), 2467 nucleotides long. It is a transcript of the gene named popeye domain cAMP effector 2, with no coding region annotated. The record is from RefSeq and is a predicted model, not a curated record. NCBI's taxonomy places the organism in Eukaryota, Metazoa, Chordata, Actinopteri, Gadiformes, Gadidae. The transcript is spliced from 4 exons.